UAGGGAAUUUUCGGCAAUGGGCGAAAGCCUGACCGAGCAACGCCGCGUGAGUGAUGAAGGCCUUCGGGUUGUAAAGCUCUGUUGUCAGGGAAGAAUGAUCAGGAUAGGAAAUGAUCUUGAAGUGACGGUACCUGACCAGAAAGCCACGGCUAACUACGUGCCAGCAGCCGCGGUAAUACGUAGGUGGCAAGCGUUAUCCGGAAUUAUUGGGCGUAAAGGGUGCGUAGGCGGUUUAGUGUGUCUCAUGUGAAAUCUCAGGGCUUAACCCUGGGCUGCAUGAGAAACUAUUAGACUAGAGUGCAGGAGAGGGCAACGGAAUUCCAUGUGUAGCGGUAAAAUGCGUAGAUAUAUGGAGGAACACCGGUGGCGAAGGCGGUUGCCUGGCCUGUAACUGACGCUG
This 400-nucleotide ribosomal RNA is filed under the name uncultured bacterium. RNAcentral's name for it is "bacterial SSU rRNA". It matches the Rfam family "Bacterial small subunit ribosomal RNA", at positions 355 to 748 of the family's 1533-position model. The record is from RNAcentral.